This 401-nucleotide ribosomal RNA is filed under the name bacterium. Its description in RNAcentral is "partial 16S ribosomal RNA". It matches the Rfam family "Bacterial small subunit ribosomal RNA", at positions 355 to 776 of the family's 1533-position model. The record is from RNAcentral.
UGGGGAAUUUCGCACAAUGGGGAAACCCUGAUGCAGCGACGCCGCGUGAUUUAGAAGGCCUUCGGGUUGUAAAAAUCUUUUCUAUGGGAAGAAAAUGACAGUACCAUAGGAAUAAGGACCGGCUAAUUACGUGCCAGCAGCCGCGGUAAUACGUAAGGUCCGAGCGUUGUCCGGAAUCAUUGGGCGUAAAGGGUACGUAGGCGGGUAAGCAAGUUAGAAGUGAAAUCCUAUAGCUCAACUAUAGUAAGCUUUUAAAACUGCUCAUCUUGAGGUAUGGAAGGGAAAGUGGAAUUCCUAGUGUAGCGGUGAAAUGCGCAGAUAUUAGGAGGAAUACCGGUGGCGAAGGCGACUUUCUGGCCAUAACCUGACGCUGAGGUACGAAAGCGUGGGUAGCAAACAGG